This 465-nucleotide ribosomal RNA is filed under the name uncultured bacterium. Its description in RNAcentral is "bacterial SSU rRNA". It matches the Rfam family "Bacterial small subunit ribosomal RNA", at positions 33 to 507 of the family's 1533-position model. The record is from RNAcentral.
AGGACGACGCUGGCGGCGUGCCUAACACAUGCAAGUCGAGCGGGGACAUUGGUUUCGGCUGAUGUUCUAGCGGCGGACGGGUGAGUAACGCGUGAGCAACCUUUCUCUCAGUGGGGAAUAACACAGGGAAACUUGUACUAAUACCGUAUGAAAUAGCAGUAUCGCAUGGUGCAACUAUCAAAGAUUUAUUGCUGGAAGAUGAGCUUGCGUCCGAUUAGAUAGUUGCGGGGUAACGGCCCACCAAGUCGACGAUCGGUAGCCGGACUGAGAGGUUGAACGGCCACAUUGGAACUGAGAUACGGUCCAGACUCCUACGGGAGGCAGCAGUGGGGAAUAUUGGGCAAUGGGCGAAAGCCUGACCCAGCGACGCCGCGUGAGGGAAGAAGAUCUUCGGAUUGUAAACCUUAGUCAACAGGGAAGAAGAAAGUGACGGUACCUGUGGAGGAAGCCACGGCUAACUACGUG